This 1387-nucleotide ribosomal RNA is filed under the name Lactiplantibacillus plantarum. RNAcentral's name for it is "bacterial SSU rRNA". It matches the Rfam family "Bacterial small subunit ribosomal RNA", at positions 57 to 1411 of the family's 1533-position model. Lineage: Bacteria; Bacillati; Bacillota; Bacilli; Lactobacillales; Lactobacillaceae. The record is from RNAcentral.
GCAGUCGAACGAACUCUGGUAUUGAUUGGUGCUUGCAUCAUGAUUUACAUUUGAGUGAGUGGCGAACUGGUGAGUAACACGUGGGAAACCUGCCCAGAAGCGGGGGAUAACACCUGGAAACAGAUGCUAAUACCGCAUAACAACUUGGACCGCAUGGUCCGAGUUUGAAAGAUGGCUUCGGCUAUCACUUUUGGAUGGUCCCGCGGCGUAUUAGCUAGAUGGUGAGGUAACGGCUCACCAUGGCAAUGAUACGUAGCCGACCUGAGAGGGUAAUCGGCCACAUUGGGACUGAGACACGGCCCAAACUCCUACGGGAGGCAGCAGUAGGGAAUCUUCCACAAUGGACGAAAGUCUGAUGGAGCAACGCCGCGUGAGUGAAGAAGGGUUUCGGCUCGUAAAACUCUGUUGUUAAAGAAGAACAUAUCUGAGAGUAACUGUUCAGGUAUUGACGGUAUUUAACCAGAAAGCCACGGCUAACUACGUGCCAGCAGCCGCGGUAAUACGUAGGUGGCAAGCGUUGUCCGGAUUUAUUGGGCGUAAAGCGAGCGCAGGCGGUUUUUUAAGUCUGAUGUGAAAGCCUUCGGCUCAACCGAAGAAGUGCAUCGGAAACUGGGAAACUUGAGUGCAGAAGAGGACAGUGGAACUCCAUGUGUAGCGGUGAAAUGCGUAGAUAUAUGGAAGAACACCAGUGGCGAAGGCGGCUGUCUGGUCUGUAACUGACGCUGAGGCUCGAAAGUAUGGGUAGCAAACAGGAUUAGAUACCCUGGUAGUCCAUACCGUAAACGAUGAAUGCUAAGUGUUGGAGGGUUUCCGCCCUUCAGUGCUGCAGCUAACGCAUUAAGCAUUCCGCCUGGGGAGUACGGCCGCAAGGCUGAAACUCAAAGGAAUUGACGGGGGCCCGCACAAGCGGUGGAGCAUGUGGUUUAAUUCGAAGCUACGCGAAGAACCUUACCAGGUCUUGACAUACUAUGCAAAUCUAAGAGAUUAGACGUUCCCUUCGGGGACAUGGAUACAGGUGGUGCAUGGUUGUCGUCAGCUCGUGUCGUGAGAUGUUGGGUUAAGUCCCGCAACGAGCGCAACCCUUAUUAUCAGUUGCCAGCAUUAAGUUGGGCACUCUGGUGAGACUGCCGGUGACAAACCGGAGGAAGGUGGGGAUGACGUCAAAUCAUCAUGCCCCUUAUGACCUGGGCUACACACGUGCUACAAUGGAUGGUACAACGAGUUGCGAACUCGCGAGAGUAAGCUAAUCUCUUAAAGCCAUUCUCAGUUCGGAUUGUAGGUUGCAACUCGCCUACAUGAAGUCGGAAUCGCUAGUAAUCGCGGAUCAGCAUGCCGCGGUGAAUACGUUCCCGGGCCUUGUACACACCGCCCGUCACACCAUGAGAGU